Molecule: ribosomal RNA, 497 nt
Filed under: uncultured bacterium
Lineage: Bacteria
Description: partial 16S ribosomal RNA
Rfam family: Bacterial small subunit ribosomal RNA
Source: RNAcentral
GAUGAACGCUGGCGGCGUGCCUAAUACAUGCAAGUCGAGCGAACAGACGAGGAGCUUGCUCCUCUGACGUUAGCGGCGGACGGGUGAGUAACACGUGGAUAACCUACCUAUAAGACUGGGAUAACUUCGGGAAACCGGAGCUAAUACCGGAUAAUAUAUAGAACCGCAUGGUUCAAUAGUGAAAGACGGUUUUGCUGUCACUUAUAGAUGGAUCCGCGCCGCAUUAGCUAGUUGGUAAGGUAACGGCUUACCAAGGCAACGAUGCGUAGCCGACCUGAGAGGGUGAUCGGCCACACUGUAACUGAGACACGGUCCAGACUCCUACGGGAGGCAGCAGUAGGGAAUCUUCCGCAAUGGGCGAAAGCCUGACGGAGCAACGCCGCGUGAGUGAUGAAGGUCUUCGGAUCGUAAAACUCUGUUAUUAGGGAAGAACAAAUGUGUAAGUAACUAUGCACGUCUUGACGGUACCUAAUCAGAAAGCCACGGCUAACUACGUG